This 497-nucleotide ribosomal RNA is filed under the name uncultured bacterium. Its description in RNAcentral is "partial 16S ribosomal RNA". It matches the Rfam family "Bacterial small subunit ribosomal RNA", at positions 28 to 507 of the family's 1533-position model. The record is from RNAcentral.
GAUGAACGCUGGCGGCGUGCCUAAUACAUGCAAGUCGAGCGAACAGAUGAGGAGCUUGCUCCUCUGACGUUAGCGGCGGACGGGUGAGUAACACGUGGAUAACCUACCUAUAAGACUGGGAUAACUUCGGGAAACCGGAGCUAAUACCGGAUAAUAUAUUGAACCGCAUGGUUCAAUAGUGAAAGACGGUUUUGCUGUCACUUAUAGAUGGAUCCGCGCCGCAUUAGCUAGUUGGUAAGGUAACGGCUUACCAAGGCAACGAUGCGUAGCCGACCUGAGAGGGUGAUCGGCCACACUGGAACUGAGACACGGUCCAGACUCCUACGGGAGGCAGCAGUAGGGAAUCUUCCGCAAAGGGCGAAAGCCUGACGGAGCAACGCCGCGUGAGUGAUGAAGGUCUUCGGAUCGUAAAACUCUGUUAUUAGGGAAGAACAAAUGUGUAAGUAACUAUGCACGUCUUGACGGUACCUAAUCAGAAAGCCACAGCUAACUACGUG